RNAcentral lists this ribosomal RNA (616 nucleotides) under Tetrahymena sp. RNAcentral's name for it is "partial small subunit ribosomal RNA". The stretch from base 1 to 545 matches the Rfam family "Bacterial small subunit ribosomal RNA", at positions 927 to 1533 of the family's 1533-position model. The record is from RNAcentral. Lineage: Eukaryota; Ciliophora; Oligohymenophorea; Hymenostomatida; Tetrahymenidae.
GAACGGUGGAACAUGUGGUUUAAUGCGAUAAUCCACGCAAAAUCUUACCAACGUUUUAGGCUUUAAUAGUAAUAUGGUUAAUACUAUAAUUAAAUGAUAAAGUUCGGAAUUGCAUGGCUGUCGUCAGUUCGUGCUGUGAAGUUUAGGAUUAAGUUUUUCUUAACGAAUGUAACCCUAUAAAUAAGUUUUUAAUUUUUAAUAAAUAAAUUUUUAAGUUAUUCUUAUUUAAUCUAUAAUCAAUUUUAAAGAAAUCUUUUUUUUUAUAAUUGAUUAUAGGGGUUUUAGGCUGAAGUCAAGUCCCUAUGGUCUUUAUACGUUGGGCUACACACGUGUUACAAGGAUAAAAACAAAGAGACGCGAUAGAGUAAUCUGAAGCAAAUCUCUAAAAAUUAUCUUAGUUCAGAUUGUUUUAUGAAAUUCUAAAACAUGAAGAUGAAAUCGUUAGUAAUUGUAAAUUAUAAUGUUACAGUGAAAUAAUUGUCAAAUUUUGCACACACCGCCCAUCACGCUCGAAAAGUCGAUAUUAGCGGAAGAUUUUAAAAUUUCUACAUAAUACUUAAUUAUUAUAUAAUUUUGUAAUAAAUAUUAUUUUUUAAUAGUGUAGUUAAUAAGUAGU